This 501-nucleotide ribosomal RNA is filed under the name uncultured bacterium. RNAcentral describes it as "partial 16S ribosomal RNA". It matches the Rfam family "Bacterial small subunit ribosomal RNA", at positions 28 to 507 of the family's 1533-position model. The record is from RNAcentral.
GACGAACGCUGGCGGCGUGCUUAACACAUGCAAGUCGAACGGUGAAGGGGUCUGCUUUUGUGGGCCCUGGAUGAGUGGCGAACGGGUGAGUAACACGUGAGUAACCUGCCCCCUUCUUCUGGAUAACCGCAUGAAAGUGUGGCUAAUACGGGAUAUUCUGGGUCUGUCGCAUGAUGGGUCUGGGAAAGAUUGCGCCUUUGGGUGUUUUUGGUGGGGGAUGGGCUCGCGGCCUAUCAGCUUGUUGGUGGGGUGAUGGCCUACCAAGGCGGUGACGGGUAGCCGGCCGGGGAGGGUGGACGGUCACACUGGGACUGAGACACGGCCCAGACUCCUACGGAGGCAGCAGUGGGGAAUAUUGCACAAUGGGCGCAAGCCUGAUGCAGCGACGCCGCGUGAGGGAUGGAGGCCUUCGGGUUGUAAACCUCUUUCGCCAGUGAAGCAGGCCUGCUCCGUGUGGGUGGGUUGACGGUAGCUGGAGAAGAAGCGCCGGCUAACUACGUG